This 253-nucleotide ribosomal RNA is filed under the name uncultured bacterium. Its description in RNAcentral is "partial 16S ribosomal RNA". It matches the Rfam family "Bacterial small subunit ribosomal RNA", at positions 524 to 776 of the family's 1533-position model. The record is from RNAcentral.
UACAGAGGGUGCAAGCGUUGCUCGGAAUCAUUGGGCGUAAAGGGCAGGUAGGUGGUCUCAUUUGUCUGGGGUGAAAGCCUUGAGCUUAACUCAAGAAGUGCCCCGGAAACGGUGAGACUAGAGUACUGGAGAGGGUCGUGGAAUUCCCGGUGUAGCGGUGAAAUGCGUAGAGAUCGGGAGGAACACCAGAGGCGAAGGCGGCGACCUGGACAGUUACUGACACUCAACUGCGAAAGCGUGGGGAGCAAACAGG